RNAcentral lists this ribosomal RNA (253 nucleotides) under uncultured bacterium. RNAcentral describes it as "partial 16S ribosomal RNA". It matches the Rfam family "Bacterial small subunit ribosomal RNA", at positions 524 to 776 of the family's 1533-position model. The record is from RNAcentral.
UACGUAGGGUGCGAGCGUUGUCCGGAAUUACUGGGCGUAAAGAGCUCGUAGGUGGUUUGUCGCGUUGUUCGUGAAAACUCACAGCUUAACUGUGGGCGUGCGGGCGAUACGGGCAGACUGGAGUACUGCAGGGGAGACUGGAAUUCCUGGUGUAGCGGUGGAAUGCGCAGAUAUCAGGAGGAACACCGGUGGCGAAGGCGGGUUGCUGGGCUGACACUGACGCUGAGGCGCGAAAGCUAGGGGAGCGAACGGG